GGUAAGUGGAAUUCUGCAUGUAGGGGUAAUAUCCGUAGAUAUGCAGAGGAACACCAAAAGCGAAGGCAGCUUACUGGACCAGUUCUGACGCUCAAGAACGAAANCCGUGGGUAGCGAACGGGAUUAGAUACCCCGGUAGUCCACGCCUUAAACGAUGAACACUAGGUAUUGGGGGUCUCGACCCCUUCAGGGCCGACGCAAAUGCAAUAAGUGUUCCGCCUGGGUAGUACGAGCGCAAGCUUAAAACUCAAAGGAAUAGACGGGGACCCACACAAGCGGUGGAGCAUCUGGUUUAAUUCGACAAUAAGCGAGGAACCUUACCAAGGCUUGACAUCCCGAGAAGAUCGCCGAAAGGUGAUUGUGCCGUUAGGAACUCGGUGACAGGUGCUGCAUGGUUGUCGUCAGCUCGUGCCUUGAGGUGUUCGGUUAAGUCCGUGAACGAGCGCAACCCUUGUCUCAAGUUGCAUAUUUCUUGAGAGACUGCCGGUUUCAAAUCGGAGGAAGGUAAGGAUGACGUCAAAUCAGCAUGGCCCUUAUGUCUUGGGCGACACAGGUGCUACAAUGGCCGGUACAAUGGGCAGCGAAGGAGCAAUCUGGAGCAAAUCCUCAAAACCGGUCCAAGUUCGAAUUGAAGGCUGCAACUCGCCUUCAUGAAGUUGGAAUCGCUAGUAACCGCAUAUCAGCCA
Molecule: ribosomal RNA, 686 nt
Filed under: uncultured organism
Description: bacterial SSU rRNA
Rfam family: Bacterial small subunit ribosomal RNA
Source: RNAcentral